UCCCUCCCCCGGCCUGACCGCAGCCCGACGCCAUGGCGCGGGUCCCCCCGACGGGCCAGUUUCGAUUCCGGGCACCGCAUCAGCCUGCUCAACCCUUUAAAUUUACAAUUUCCGAAUCCUGUGAUCGGAUUAAGGAAGAGUUUCAGUUUUUACAGGCUCAAUACCACAGUCUGAAGCUGGAAUGUGAGAAACUCGCCAGUGAGAAGACAGAGAUGCAGCGGCAUUAUGUCAUGUAUUAUGAAAUGUCCUAUGGGUUGAAUAUAGAAAUGCACAAGCAGGCAGAGAUUGUCAAGAGGCUGAAUGCUAUCUGUGCACAAGUCAUUCCUUUCCUGUCCCAAGAGCACCAGCAACAAGUGGUGCAGGCUGUGGAACGGGCCAAGCAGGUGACCAUGGCAGAACUGAACGCCAUCAUUGGGGUACGUGGCCUUUCCAUUUUAGCUCUGAUCUUAGUGUUUGUCAUCAGCUCUCUCGCUCUCUCUUUUUACAUUUUGUUCCGCCAAAGGGGCAAAAAGCAAUAGAUGACUACAAAAUGAAAUUAAGCACUUUGCCUUCAAUCUCCUGUGAAAUUUGAUGGCUGCCUCAGAAACUUUGGAUCACAUUCUCACCAAUUUAAGUGGAUGUGUUCAUGAAAACUCUCCUCUAAGGAGACUGGAUAGCUCUUUUUCAUAUUUCUUUUCUUUGCAAUCAGCUUGUGUUGCUAACCUAGGCCAAAAAAAAA
Molecule: small RNA, 718 nt
Filed under: Pan troglodytes (chimpanzee)
Lineage: Eukaryota; Metazoa; Chordata; Mammalia; Primates; Hominidae
Description: retained intron
Source: RNAcentral